AAAGACCUCGCGUUAUUGGAGCGGCCGAUAUCUGAUUAGCUAGUUGGUGGGGUAAAGGCUCACCAAGGCGACGAUCAGUAGCUAGUCUGAGAGGAUGAUCAGCCACACUGGAACUGAGACACGGUCCAGACUCCUACGGGAGGCAGCAGUGGGGAAUUUUGGACAAUGGGCGCAAGCCUGAUCCAGCCAUUCCGCGUGAGUGAAGAAGGCCUUCGGGUUGUAAAGCUCUUUCGCAAGGGAAGAAACGAUACGAGCGAAUAACUCGUGUUAAUGACGGUACCUUGAUAAGAAGCACCGGCUAACUACGUGCCAGCAGCCGCGGUAAUACGUAGGGUGCGUGCGUUAAUCGGAAUUACCGGGCGUAAAGCGAGCGCAGGCGGUUUUGUAAGUCAGAUGUGAAAUCCCCGGGCUCAACCUGGGAACU
This 424-nucleotide ribosomal RNA is filed under the name uncultured bacterium. RNAcentral describes it as "bacterial SSU rRNA". It matches the Rfam family "Bacterial small subunit ribosomal RNA", at positions 202 to 622 of the family's 1533-position model. The record is from RNAcentral.